CACUCUGACUUAGUCUUUGAAGUGCCAAGGAAGGGUUCCUCCCUUGGCCCUCUAACUUUUCUUGAGAAAUACACCGCGGAGUGGAAACAAACGAUCUCCCCAUUCUUUGACAUGCCACGUGUCAGCCAUCCGUCACUUCCCAAAAUAGAAUCGUGUCAGCUGGUAUUACUUAUCACUAUCACACGACCUAUUUCACUGCCAUACGUAGAUCAUUUGCAAUUUUUUGAGCAAGGGAAUACAAAGUAAUUAUGCCCACUACUUAGAUUAAUAUUAUCUUGUCAAUCUCUUCUAUAAAACACAAGCCUAAUACCACUUGCCAGCUAAGUUUUCUGAUCAAGAUUAAUAGCAUAAAAUUCAAGAAUUUUGAAUCAUAAGCUCAAUAAGUGUUUGCUAAUUUCUG
This 400-nucleotide unclassified non-coding RNA is filed under the name Hevea brasiliensis (rubber tree). The record is from RNAcentral. Lineage: Eukaryota; Viridiplantae; Streptophyta; Magnoliopsida; Malpighiales; Euphorbiaceae.